Molecule: ribosomal RNA, 292 nt
Filed under: uncultured bacterium
Lineage: Bacteria
Description: partial 16S ribosomal RNA
Rfam family: Bacterial small subunit ribosomal RNA
Source: RNAcentral
GUGCCAGCAGCCGCGGUAAUACAGAGGGUGCGAGCGUUGUCCGGAAUCACUGGGCGUAAAGGGUGAGUAGGUGGCCUGUUAAGCGUGUGGUGAAAGCCUGGGGCUCAACCCCAGGUCUGCCGUGCGAACUGACAGGCUUGAGCAGAGUAGAGGCGAGUGGAAUUUCGGGUGUAGCGGUGGAAUGCGUAGAUAUCCGAAAGAACACCGGUGGCGAAGGCGACUCGCUGGGCUCUUGCUGACACUGAAUCACGACAGCGUGGGGAGCAAACAGGAUUAGAAACCCUGGUAGUCC